This 59-nucleotide small RNA is filed under the name Pterocles gutturalis (yellow-throated sandgrouse). Its description in RNAcentral is "Bacillus-plasmid RNA". It matches the Rfam family "Bacillus-plasmid RNA". The record is from Rfam by way of RNAcentral. Lineage: Eukaryota; Metazoa; Chordata; Aves; Pterocliformes; Pteroclidae.
UCUGUCAAGGUAACGGAUGUGCAAAGAAAUAUAUAAGGACAUUUGACAGCAUUAGCACU